Molecule: small RNA, 95 nt
Filed under: Sinorhizobium meliloti 2011
Lineage: Bacteria; Pseudomonadati; Pseudomonadota; Alphaproteobacteria; Hyphomicrobiales; Rhizobiaceae
Description: putative ncRNA
Source: RNAcentral
GUCUUGAAGGGCGAAGAUUUCGGUGAGAUCCCAGUCGUAGCGAUCGGCCCAGAGAGGACCACCGCCCUUGCCCUCGACGAGUUGCGCGGUGACGC